UUUCAAUUUAAAAUCAUAAAGCAUAUACUGAUACAACUAUAGUUUAUUAGUAAAUUUCCCACCAUGGAGAGAUGUAUUCUGCUGAUUCUUAUAACAGUACCAGGUGUAUUUGCUGACAGCAUUAAACCAAAAGACAAGGAAAAUAUAAUCAGGACAGAAGGAGAGUCUGUGACACUGAGCUGUACAUAUGAUACAAGCAGCAGUAAUACUUAUGUUAUGCUUUACUGGUACAGACAGUUUCCAAACAGAGAACCUCAGUAUUUACUGCGGAAAGGUGCUCGAUCAUGGAGCAAUAUUGAGGAUAUACCAGAUCCUCACUUUCAGUCGACUACAUCUCAAACAUCCACUGAACUCAAGAUUAAUGGUGUGACUCUGUCAGAUUCAGCUCUCUAUUACUGUGCUCUAAGAGUUGACGCCCAGUGA
Molecule: non-coding RNA, 423 nt
Organism: Ctenopharyngodon idella (grass carp)
Lineage: Eukaryota; Metazoa; Chordata; Actinopteri; Cypriniformes; Xenocyprididae
Source: the annotation of a RefSeq genome assembly